CGAUCUCGAGUUGAGUUUGGAGCCCAAAUAUUUUGAAUCGAGUUAAGCUCGAACUUUCAGGUACUCGAUUCGGCUCGGCUCGAUUACACUCCUAAUUGGGACUCUAGGAGGCUGCAGAGGUACAGCAAUGGUGAGAGAGGUGGAGCUCCACUUCAAUUGGAGCCUUAUAAUCGAGAGAAAAGAGAAUGCUAAAAGAGAGAGAGGGAAGGAGAGGAAGGAAAGAAAGGGCAACUUAUAGGUGAUCGAGAUGGAGCAUGCGAACAAUGUUGAUGACAUCAAAGUCCUCGAAAGGCCAUACAGGUGGGCCAGGGGGGAUGGAAUGCUCUUGCCCUCUCAAAACAAAGCAAGCAACGAUAGGAUGGGGGGCACUCUUUCGAGUCAUCAUGAGAGAUUG
This 394-nucleotide long non-coding RNA is filed under the name Elaeis guineensis (African oil palm). RNAcentral's name for it is "long non-coding RNA (EGUI_LNC002251)". The record is from RNAcentral. Lineage: Eukaryota; Viridiplantae; Streptophyta; Magnoliopsida; Arecales; Arecaceae.